AUACUUAUCUGGCGGAGGAGGCAUGAUUGGGGGGGGGUGCUUUCCCAAGGGUAAGGCUCCUUCCUCCCUUGUACUUGGGAGGUGCUGGCCCCUGCUGCUUUCCGCAGUUCAGAAAAUCAGCUGCUUAAGUUUUAGUAAAGGGAGAUCGUGUUCACA
This is a small nuclear RNA of Rattus rattus (black rat), 156 nucleotides long. RefSeq annotates it as U1 spliceosomal RNA. The record is from RefSeq and is a predicted model, not a curated record. Lineage: Eukaryota; Metazoa; Chordata; Mammalia; Rodentia; Muridae. The transcript has a single exon.